UACAGAGCCUGCAAGCGUUACUCGGAUUCACUGGGCGUAAAGGGUGCGCAGGCGGCCAAGUGUGUUAGGCGUGAAAGCCUGAGGCUUAACCUCAGAAUUGCACCUAAAACUACAUGGCUAGAGCAUUGGAGAGGGUAGCGGAAUUCACGGUGUAGCAGUGAAAUGCGUAGAUAUCGUGAGGAACACCAGAGGCGAAGGCGGCUACCUGGACAAUCGCUGACGCUCAGGCACGAAAGCGUGGGGAGCGAACAGG
RNAcentral lists this ribosomal RNA (253 nucleotides) under uncultured bacterium. Its description in RNAcentral is "partial 16S ribosomal RNA". It matches the Rfam family "Bacterial small subunit ribosomal RNA", at positions 524 to 776 of the family's 1533-position model. The record is from RNAcentral.